RNAcentral lists this ribosomal RNA (778 nucleotides) under Sericoderus sp. TJH-2004. RNAcentral's name for it is "partial 16S ribosomal RNA". The stretch from base 379 to 537 matches the Rfam family "Bacterial large subunit ribosomal RNA", at positions 2473 to 2632 of the family's 2925-position model. Lineage: Eukaryota; Metazoa; Arthropoda; Insecta; Coleoptera; Corylophidae. The record is from RNAcentral.
UUUGAAAUUAAUUUAAAGUCUAACCUGCUCAAUGAAAUUUAAAUAGCUGCAGUAUUUUGACUGUACAAAGGUAGCAUAAUCAAUAGUUUUUUAAUUAAAAACUGGAAUGAAAGGUUGAAUAAAAAAAUUACUGUCUCAAUUUAAUUUGAAUUAAAAAUUUAUUUUUAAGUUAAAAAGCUUAAAUAUUAUUUAUAGACGAGAAGACCCUAUAGAGUUUUAUUAUUAAUUUAAUAAAAAUUAAAAGAAUUAAAAAAUUUAAUUUAAGUUAAUAAUUUUAUUGGGGUGAUAAAAAAAUUAAAUUAACUUUUUUUAAUUUAAAACAAAAAUUAUUGAUUUAUUGAUCCAUUAAUUAUGAUUAAAAGAUUAAAUUACCUUAGGGAUAACAGCGUAAUUUUUUUUUAGAGUUCAAAUCGAAAAAAAAGAUUGCGACCUCGAUGUUGGAUUAAAAUUAAUUUUUGGUGUAGAAGCUAAAAUAUUAGGUCUGUUCGACCUUUAAAAUUUUACAUGAUCUGAGUUUAAACCGGUGUAAGCCAGGUUGGUUUCUAUCUUAAAUUUAUUAAAAUAUUUUAGUACGAAAGGACCAAAUAUUUAAUUAAAAAUUAAUUUUAAGAAUAAAAAUAUUAUUUUGGCAGAAUAGUGCAAUAAAUUUAGAAUUUAUAAAUGUAAAUUUUACAAAUAAUAUUGAAAGAUUUAAUUUUAAUAAUAAUUUCAUUAAUUAUUUUAAUUGUAAUAGUUUUAGUAGGGGUAGCUUUUUUAACUUUAUUAGAACGUAAAGUUU